This 214-nucleotide ribosomal RNA is filed under the name uncultured bacterium. RNAcentral describes it as "partial 16S ribosomal RNA". It matches the Rfam family "Bacterial small subunit ribosomal RNA", at positions 29 to 220 of the family's 1533-position model. The record is from RNAcentral.
AGCGAACGCUGGCGGCGUGCCUAACACAUGCAAGUCGAGCGCGGGCAUUUCGGGGGUAACCCCGGGAUGUGCUGAGCGGCGGACGAGUGAGUAAUACGUGGACAACCUGCCUUAAAGCUUGGGAUAACUCCGGGAAACUGGAGCUAAUACCGGAUAAGACCACGGUGUCUAUGGAUGCUGAGGUAAAAGGCGGCCAGGAAACUGGCUGUUGCUU